AGGCACUGUUCGUGGCCUGCUAGCCUGGCUGUGGCUGACGGGCUCCAUUCCAGUGCCACAGCAGCUCCAGUGGCUUGUCACUGACAGACUCGUGGCUCUCGGUUUCAGGCCCUUGGGACACAG
Molecule: small nucleolar RNA, 123 nt
Organism: Mustela putorius furo (domestic ferret)
Lineage: Eukaryota; Metazoa; Chordata; Mammalia; Carnivora; Mustelidae
Source: Ensembl